GAUGAAGAACGUAGCGAAAUGCGAUAAGUAAUGUGAAUUGCAGAAUUCAGUGAAUCAUCGAAUCUUUGAACGCACAUUGCGCCCGCUAGUAUUCUGGCGGGCAUGCCUGUUCGAGCGUCAUUACAACCCUCAGGCCCCCGGGCCUGGCGUUGGGGAUCGGCGGAGCCCCCCGUGGGCACACGCCGUCCCCCAAAUACAGUGGCGGUCCCGCCGCAGCUUCCAUCGCGUAGUAGCUAACACCUCGCGACUGGAGAGCGGCGCGGCCACGCCGUAAAACACCCAACUCUUCUGAAGUUGACCUCGAAUCAGGUAGGAAUACCCGCUGAACUUAAGCAUAUCAAUAAGCGGAGGA
This 352-nucleotide unclassified non-coding RNA is filed under the name soil metagenome. RNAcentral's name for it is "partial contains 5.8S ribosomal RNA, internal transcribed spacer 2, and large subunit ribosomal RNA". The stretch from base 1 to 120 matches the Rfam family "5.8S ribosomal RNA", at positions 35 to 154 of the family's 154-position model. The record is from RNAcentral.